RNAcentral lists this unclassified non-coding RNA (431 nucleotides) under soil metagenome. Its description in RNAcentral is "partial contains 5.8S ribosomal RNA, internal transcribed spacer 2, and large subunit ribosomal RNA". The stretch from base 1 to 120 matches the Rfam family "5.8S ribosomal RNA", at positions 35 to 154 of the family's 154-position model. The record is from RNAcentral.
GAUGAAGAACGUAGCGAAAUGCGAUACGUAAUGUGAAUUGCAGAAUUCAGUGAAUCAUCGAAUCUUUGAACGCAUAUUGCGCUCUCUGGUAUUCCGGAGAGCAUGCUUGUUUGAGUAUCAGUAAACACCUCAACUCCCUUUUCUUUUUUGAAAUGGGAGCUGGACUUGAGUGAUCCCAACGCUUUUCUCACCGGAAAGUGGCGGGUUACUUGAAAUGCAGGUGCAGCUGGACUUUUCUCUGAGCUAUAAGCAUAUCUAUUUAGUCUGCCUAAAAACAGAUUAUUACCUUUGCUGCAGCUAACAUAAAGGAGAUUAGUUCUUGUGCUGACUGAUGCAGGAUUCACAAAGACAGGCUUCGGCCGACUUUGUAAACUCGAUCUCAAAUCAAGUAAGACUACCCGCUGAACUUAAGCAUAUCAAUAAGCGGAGGA